This 497-nucleotide ribosomal RNA is filed under the name uncultured bacterium. RNAcentral describes it as "partial 16S ribosomal RNA". It matches the Rfam family "Bacterial small subunit ribosomal RNA", at positions 28 to 507 of the family's 1533-position model. The record is from RNAcentral.
GAUGAACGCUGGCGGCGUGCCUAAUACAUGCAAGUCGAGCGAACAGACGAGGAGCUUGCUCCUCUGACGUUAGCGGCGGACGGGUGAGUAACACGUGGAUAACCUACCUAUAAGACUGGGAUAACUUCGGGAAACCGGAGCUAAUACCGGAUAAUAUAUUGAACCGCAUGGUUCAAUAGUGAAAGACGGUUUUGCUGUCACUUAUAGAUGGAUCCGCGCCGCAUUAGCUAGUUGGUAAGGUAACGGCUUACCAAGGCAACGAUGCGUAGCCGACCUGAGAGGGUGAUCGGCCACACUGGAACUGAGACACGGUCCAGACUCCUACGGGUGGCAGCAGUAGGGAAUCUUCCGCAAUGGGCGAAAGCUUGACGGAGCAACGCCGCGUGAGUGAUGAAGGUCUUCGGAUCGUAAAACUCUGUUAUUAGGGAAGAACAAAUGUGUAAGUAACUAUGCACGUCUUGACGGUACCUAAUCAGAAAGCCACGGCUAACUACGUG